RNAcentral lists this ribosomal RNA (147 nucleotides) under Triticum aestivum (bread wheat). RNAcentral describes it as "partial small subunit ribosomal RNA". The record is from RNAcentral. Lineage: Eukaryota; Viridiplantae; Streptophyta; Magnoliopsida; Poales; Poaceae.
AUGUGGUAUCUUCGUAAGGGAGUUGUGUUGACCAAAGACAACCUCGCACGACGCAACUGGCCAGGGAGUAAGAAGUGUUGUUUUUGUACUCAUGACGAGGCAAUCAAACACCUCUUUUUCCAAUGCAAGUUUGCACGUUCUACGUGA